RNAcentral lists this unclassified non-coding RNA (387 nucleotides) under soil metagenome. RNAcentral's name for it is "partial contains 5.8S ribosomal RNA, internal transcribed spacer 2, and large subunit ribosomal RNA". The stretch from base 1 to 120 matches the Rfam family "5.8S ribosomal RNA", at positions 35 to 154 of the family's 154-position model. The record is from RNAcentral.
GAUGAAGAACGUAGCGAAAUGCGAUAAGUAAUGUGAACUGCAGAAUUCAGUGAAUCAUCGAAUCUUUGAACGCACCUUGCACCCUUUGGCAUUCCGAAGGGUAUGCUCGUUUGAGUGUCAUUGUACUCUCACACUCUCCGAUCCUAUGGAUUCGGGGAGCGGUGGACUUGGGUGUUGCUGCCUUUCCCUGUGGCUCACCUCAAAUGCGUCAGUGCACCUCUUGGUUGGACAUAGUACGGCGUGAUAAGUGUCUUCGCCGGCACCUCGCAAGAGGGUGGCCGAUCGGGAGCUCUGCGCUUUCAAACCGUCUUCGGACAAUUUCUGACAUCUUGACCUCAAAUCGAGUAGGACUACCCGCUGAACUUAAGCAUAUCAAUAAGCGGAGGA